Molecule: ribosomal RNA, 377 nt
Filed under: uncultured bacterium
Lineage: Bacteria
Description: bacterial SSU rRNA
Rfam family: Bacterial small subunit ribosomal RNA
Source: RNAcentral
UAAUACGGGGGGAGCAAGCGUUGUUCGGAUUUACUGGGCGUAAAGGGCGCGUAGGCGGCGCAACAAGUCACUUGUGAAAUCUCUGGGCUCAACCCAGAGCGGCCAAGUGAUACUGUCGUGCUAGAGUGCGGAAGGGGCUACUGGAAUUCUCGGUGUAGCGGUGAAAUGCGUAGAUAUCGAGAGGAACACCUGCGGCGAAGGCGGGUAGCUGGGCCGACACUGACGCUGAGGCGCGAAAGCCAGGGGAGCGAACGGGAUUAGAUACCCCGGUAGUCCUGGCCUUAAACGAUGGAUGCUUGGUGUCCGAGGUUUCAUAGUCCUCGGGUGCCGUCGCUAACGCCUUAAGCAUCCCGCCUGGGGAGUACGGUCGCAAGACU